Hevea brasiliensis (rubber tree) is the source of this 8651-nucleotide RNA transcript. RefSeq lists it as uncharacterized. NCBI's taxonomy places the organism in Eukaryota, Viridiplantae, Streptophyta, Magnoliopsida, Malpighiales, Euphorbiaceae. The transcript has 4 exons. The record is from RefSeq and is a predicted model, not a curated record.
ACAUUAUUUGAUUCAGUGGUACACAAAAUAUAAUGUCCUUUAAAGUCGGUUCUGUCUUGGCGAUAAUCAUUCUGAUGAUAUUGAUCGAUGGAUCAGUUUUGCUAUUCUGAUGGCUGUUGAGAACCUCUUUGUUGGCCUUAUUUGUCUAGGAAGACAGUGUUACAAGAAUCCCAAUGGCAUGCACAGCAUUGAAAAUGUGGGGAAGUAUGUUUUUCGUUCAGAGCUUUUUGAAAGUGUGGAAAACAAGUUGAAGCAUCGCGAUUAGUAGGUGUAGUUUAGGACUAAACUUUUCUACCAACCAAUUUGCCACUAUGGACUCUUUGCUUGAUUUAUAUACCCAUUGUCCAAUUUACAUGGCAUGUUUUCUGUUGGUGAAGCUUCAAAAUUUGUGCUUUAUGAAUUGUAGGCUCCCUUCAAAAUUAUCCCUUGGCUCGUUGCCUCAAGAUCUUCACCCUUUAUCUUGUCGUGGGAUUAAGAAUGUUCAGCUAUUUAAUGUGAAUCUCUUGAACUUUCAGCUCAAGUCUCAUCGAUCGCUUAAGCUUAAUUUAAGUGGAGCUCCUAAUUUAAAGAUUCUUGGUUAUUAUGCACAUAAAAGAGGACUGCAGUCACUGCACUAUAUAUUGACCGAUCUUCCAAGACUUCUUCUUGAUUUGAGGGUUUUACAGAUUUACGCAGAUGAGGAUUGGGGUAAAUUUGUACCGGAGAGGAUGUCUACCUUCUCAAUGGUUGUGGAAUUAAAGCUGGAUUUUCGAAAACCUAGAAAGUUUGACACCUUGAAGAUGGUUUCCAUUCUUAGAGCCUUUCCCAGUCUGCUGCUCAACCUUGAGUUAUCGACAUGUUGUCCACAGGAGACUGAACAAGGGAGUGCUGACCUUGGCGAUAAUGUUCACUAAUAUCUGAAGUACAUUAAAAUACGUGGAUUUAAUACAUCAAAUCACACUGUGUUAGCAAUUUAUUGCUGACAGAUGCUGCUGUUCUUAAGCAGUUGGCUAUCAAACAGCAAGCCAGACACCAUUUUGACUGCGCAGAAACUGCUAAGCAAAUGCAAUUUUUGGAUGAAGUAGAAUGCCAGAAGCUCCGCUUGCAAUUACAGGCAUUAUCCAAAAGUGCAGUGGUGACUGUCACAUGAAUAUAUUUUUGGAUUAUUGUUAAAAAAAAAAAAACUUCCAUUUCAUAUUUAUGGGAGUUGCAAGGAAUCAUCGGGCCGUAGACUUUUUUUUUUUUUUUUAUUUACAUCAGGCUGUCCUCUAUUUUCUGUAUAUUAUAUGUAUGGUAAGGGUUUCCGGUUUAUUUUGGUAUCAGAGUCUGGUUAUACUUGUAUUAUACAUACUUCACUGGUGAGUAGGAGAGAAACUUUCAACCUCUGAUAUUUCUCUUAUUCUCUGUAUCACUGUUUUCUGCCAUCUUCUCUUAUCUUGGUAUAUCGGCUGGAAACUAGUAACUGCUUGAUUCCUUCCUAGAAGGUAGAGCGAUCUCUAGCUACAACGCCACAUACCAAAAACAUGGCUUGUCAAACACCUAACCCUGUUGCUGAAACUCAUCUUUAGACCCUUUCUCCCUCUGAAAUUGUUAAUCUCACCUCUUCUCUUUCUUUCUCUUCACCACUUCGAAGAACACUAUCUUCCAGAAUUGAUAAUCUCGUGGAAAUAUCUACUCUACCUGAAGAUGCUCAGGUUGGAGAAUCUCUCUUACCUCUUCUCAAUCCCUAUAACAUCUACAGACGAUCUAGAUCUCUAACCAGAUCUAUCAGAUCUCUCAUUUCUUCCAGAAGAUCUUUAUCAAAAGAAUAUGUUCAGGCCUCCAGAAUGGAUCAAUGCUCUCUUCAAAGUUCAUCUGCUGAACAGUAUGUGACCUUAGAAAUCCCUCCUUAGCUCAUUCCCAGAUGGAAACAAGAAGGAUUUUCUCACCUCCUCUUUGGAGCUGUUAGACUUAUCCUCAGUCUACAUGGAAGAUGAGGGCUUCCAGUGACAGCAAGAGUAUCACUCCUGGAUAUGAGAUUCUUACAGUAUGAACAUGCAGUGAUAGGAACAUGCCUUACCACUUUGCAUGCUGGAAGUGUGGUACUAACGUUCUUCCUGAACUACAAUCUUUCACUUAGGGAUCCACAUCUCAGCACCGCUUUAAAAGUCCAAAUCCAACUCACUGGUGCAGCACAAGUCACAUCCUCCAUGAUGGCUACGUUACACCAUCAGAUUAUCUAUAGGCUGCAAGAUCAUGCAGUAGAUCUAUCUCAGCCAUUCGUAUCAAAUGACGCUCUGCUUGUGUUAGCAGACAUUGAGACCAUCCCAACAAUUGUUCAGAUACCUAGGCAACUGCCUAGAAAUGAGCUUGAACAGCUUAUCCCAAAGGAUUGGUUAACCAAUUAUGAAAGACUCCAUUCAACCUCUCAACCAAUCCAGAUCACAGAAUCCUUUUUCAGGAGAAAUCCUGACUGUACGGUACAGACCACUUUUCAGCCACCGCGGCAUUCUACAGGAUCCUUGCCUGUAUUCCAGACCAUGAUGGUCCAGCUAUUAGAAAAAGAGCAAGAAGACUUUUCCAUUGGAGCAGUAACACCUGACAACCAUUACAUCUAUCCUCAGAAGAUAGAUGGUCACUGUCCCUGAGAUCUCCCAGGAUCUGGAAUGUGCGAUGAAGAUUGUGACUGUUGUGAUAACUACUGGGUAAAUGAAUAUGACCAUCCUUUGUCUGAUAAAAACUGGAGGAAGCUUACCAAACAAACAAGGAGAGCCUCUUGCAAGCCUCAAUAAGUUCUCAGAAGAGACUAUCCAGAUAAUAGCCCAUGGAUUGGUAUCCAUGAGGAAACCAAGCAGAAGAAGCCUCUUCCCAUCUAUGAGCCUGCCCUUGAGAUCAUCAGAAAAGAAGGAAAGAAACUGCCCCCUCUUAAACCAGUUUCUUCCCCUCCUCCUGCACUUCCUUUGGUGCAACCUUGUAUGAUGUUCUCACCCACUUCUUAUGAAAUAGAUUUUCCCCCAUUACCACAACAGACAGACCAGCAGACCGAAAUCUCCACCAGACCUUUCAUUCACUCAACUAAGGUUGAUAGUGAAGGUCAGAUAACUCCGAUCACUCAAGCUGAAGAAGUUCUGAAUUGGCAGACAAAGAAUGCAGCUGUCCAAAAUAAAACAUUACAACGAAUUGACUCAAAGAUUGAUCAAGUCCUCACCAGGACUCAGCAUAUCGAUCACAAGGUCGAUUAUUUCACUGCAUUUGUCCAGAACAUGUACAAAGAUUUGCAAGGCAGAAUUAACCAACUUGACAGGGACUUAUGAUCCUCAAUCCAACAAAGGAGGUUUGGCACAGAAUUUAACCAGAAGGAAUAGGAAAUCAGACGGUUAAGAAAACAGUUAGCCCAAGUUGAAGCAAACCUGCGUAAGCCAAUAGAGGCUCCUAUUUCUUACAGCCCAUUUUCCACUCCAAUGGCCCAUAAUCCUUUCCUUCAUACUCCUGAACCUGCAUAUUCCCCUUUCAGCCCUUUUAACUAUUCAUAUGAACCACCUCCAACCACAUAUCAUCCAUCCCCUUUGUUCAGACCUAAUCCUACACCUACCAGAUAUGAGCCAAGGAGUUCAUCUUCUCCGGAAGAAUCCCAUCCUCCAAAAAGGAAGAUUGAUAAGGGAAAGGACAAAAUAUACCCUGAUCCUCCUCCUCAGCAUAUGGUGUCUAUACCCUCUGAACCAGAAGAUGACUCUUCUGAUAACUUGUUUGAUGACAGUGAGGAUGGACGAAUGGAUAUCACGACAUUGCUCAUGGCUGAUCGCUAACCAACUGCAUCUCAAACAGGCCCUUCACCAACUACAGAUUCCACCAGUGGCACUACAGGCCCUUCCACUGGGCCUCCCCAAGCCCAAGAUCCACAUGUGGAAAUGCCAGAAGAUGAUCCAAUCCUGGAUUUUAAUCUCCCAGGCGCCCCACAUCAAUCCAGGUCCAGCACAGGCCCAUGGUUUACAUUGGACGACAUUCCCCCCUUAAAAUGGAGGGAUCGUCUUGCAGAAUUUAAAGCUUGGCUCGAUGUUCAGAUGUUUCGAGAAGGUGCUGAUUUUCAUACUAUUCUCAGAGAAUUUAUCUCUCGAAUCACUGGCACAUUACAAGACUGGUUUGCCUCCAUCAGAGAAUAUAACAAAGCCCAGUUUUGUCACCUGAAUGUUAUACAGGCUGUCAAUGCUAUUUUUGCUGAGUUCCUUGGCGAUGCAUCUUUAUAUAGCAAACAGCUACGACAGGAGUUUUUUGACAUGCGUUGCUACUCUUUAAAGAGAACAGAUAUUGAAAAGUAUUACCAGCGCAUGGCCCAGCGCUACUAUUUAUUAAAUAGGUAUAAUGAUGUCAACCUCAGGCAUACAUACAUUGUUUCUCUCCCAGAAGUAUUACAACCUGAACUCCACAGGAGCAUCAUUGCUACCUGAAGAGCAAUGAAUGCCAUCACCAUUGGAGAAAUCCAUCAGAUGACUUUAGCCUGUUUAGAUAAGAUGUGCGAGCAACAAAAAUUGUUCAAGGACAUCAUUGACAACAGCAAAGCCUUGAAGAAUAUCUGUCAGAAGUCCCACCUUGCUAUAAAAUGCAAGGAAAAGAAUUGUGAAUGCAAGCUAAAGAAGAAAGGGCAUUACAAGAAGUAUUCCUCUGGGUUCAAACCGCCUUUCAAGCAGAAGAAAAGAAGAAGACCAAUCAGAUACUUUCGUAAGAAAAGAACGGGUACAAAGAAGUUUGAUAGGUGUUACAUCUGUGGCAAUCGAGGUCACUAUGCUAAAAACUGUCCUAAGAACCCCAAUAAGGCAGUCAAGCUUUUACAACACAUACAACAGGCUUCUCACAUCUCUCUGGAGCAUGAUGAUGUUGAAUCCCUGUUCUCUGAACAAGAUGAAGAUACAGUCUUCGCCCUUGGAGCAGAUACUGGCUCAGAGCAAGACCACUUUUUCUCUUCAGAAGAAUCCAGUUCAGAUACUGAAGCCCAUUACCCGUCUUACCUGGCCCAACAUAUCCAAUCCUCCCAAUUAACUUACAGCCCAGACACUAUUUCAAUUCCUUUAGUUCCGCGUCAUAUUGUUCCCAGCAAAUAUGAACGGCCCAUUAGUAUCAUUGGUUUCCUAGAUACCGGGGCUCACAAAAGCAUGAUGAACCCAGCCAUCUUACCUUCAGAAUACUGGGUCCCCCAUGAAGAAUACUUCAAGGCAGCAGAUGGGAAUGUUUCCAAGACUAGCCUCAUCACCAAGCAUCCCAUUGGAAUUCAGUUCUUCCCCACCUGUAUCCUCUGGACCAAGGUCAUCGGGUCAGAUCUUCCUGACAAGGAUCUGCUAAUAGGCUUUGACUUGUAUCAACAGGCGAAGCAUUUGAAGAUCCUCCCCACAGGAUUAAAAUAUAAGAGGAAUUUUUAGGCAUUCACCUCUGUUCCAAGGUUAUAUUCUUUGGCUGAUGCUUCAACUGAAUUUCAAGAAUACAAGGAGCUCCUCUUAAGAUCCUGUGCUGAUUCCCAUGCACAUUUUCACCAUCAUCACCCCCUGUGGAAAAACCUAGAUUUCUUUGUCAAUCUCCCAUUCAAACUCAAUGAAGAUAUUAACCCGACAAAGGCAUCACACCCGGGGAUGAACCCUACAGACUUGGCUCUAGCCCAAGAAGAGUGCAAACAGCUUCUCCAACAAGGACUCAUAGAACCCACUUCCUCUCAAUGGGCCUGCCAGACCUUUUAUGUUGAAAAAAGAUCUGAGCGAUUAAGAGGAAAGAAAAGAUUUGUCAUUGAUUACAAGCCCCUCAAUCAUUUCCUUCAAGAUGACAAGUUCCCACUACCAAAACCUGAAGCCUUGUUCACUCAACUCUAUGAGGCCCAUGUCUUCUCCAAGUUUGAUCUUAAAGCUGGAUUUUGGCAAUUGGGUAUUAACCCCUCUGAUAGGCCCAAAACCGCUUUCUGCAUUCCCACGGCCCAAUACCAAUGGACAGUCCUUUUAUUCGGCCUUAAGACGGCCCCAUCAGUUUUUCAAAAAGCCAUGAUAAGGAUAUUCGAGCCCAUACUUCACAGUGCUCUUAUUUACAUAGACGAUAUCCUUCUCUUCUCCAAAGAUGUUACGGCCCAUAGAACACUUCUCUCUACAUUUCAACAAUUGGUGGAUUCCUAUGGAAUUAUGCUAUCAGAAAAGAAGAGCUCAUUGGCCUAAACUGAUAUCGACUUCCUUGGAAUGAAGUUUAAAGAUGGAAAAUACAAACCGGGACCUCACCUUGCAGAAGAAUUACUGAAGUUCCCUGAUAAGGACUUGACAGUAAAACAAAUACAGCAGUUUCUUGGUAUUAUCAAUUAUAUCAGGAAGUUUAUUCCCCAUGUGGCCAUCCACACCUGCCAGCUAUCAAAGAUGCUUAAAAGGAAUGCUCCACCUUGGAAAGAAGAACAGACAUGUGCAGUCAAGGCGCUAAAAGAAGUGGCUCUGAAUCUGCCACCUCUGAAGAUCCCCAGCAUUGGACAUCGGAUCCUUCAGACUGAUGCUAGUGACACCCACUGGGGUGCAGUCCUGAUCGAAGAAAUACAAGGAGAAAAGCAUAUCAAAGGGAAACACAACUUGGUUUCUGAUCUUUUAUCCAGGCCCAAAAACCUCCACCUGACCCAGAGGUAGACUUUCUAGCAUCGAUAUCUGAUCAGAAUCAGUAUAACCAUCCAAUUGCAAGUCACUACCUCCAUUUAUCAAGAAUAAAUCCUUAGUUCUUCUUAAGUACUUAAGGAUAUUCUUGACAGCUAUCUAGUGUUCCAAACCUAGAUUGGAUUGAAACUUGCUAGUCAAACUAACAACAUAUGCAAUAUCCGGCCUAGUACACAACAUUGCAUAGAUCAAACUUCCAAUAGCCGAAGCAUAUGGAAUCCUAGCCAUUUUAUCUCUUUCUUCAGGUGUCUUUGGAGACAUCUCUUUAGAAAGGUGGAUACCAUGUCUCACUGGUAACAAUCCUCUCUUGCAAUCAAGCAUGUUAAACCUUUUUAAUACCUUUUCCAAGUAUAGACUUUGGGAUAAACCAAUUAUUCUUUUCGCUCUAUCUCUAUAGAUGCGAAUCCCAAGAAUAUAGGUUGCUUCCCCUAAGUCUUUCAUAGAGAAUGUAUUUGACAAUCAUACCUUUACAGCUGUUAACAUACCUAUGUCAUUACCCAUUAACAAAAAGUCAUCCACAUAUAAGAUAAGGAAAGUGACAGCACUAUCACUAACCUUCUUAUAUACACAUGGUUCAUCCUCAUUUUUGAUAAAACCAAAUGACUUAAUGGUUUCAUCAAAAUGGAUGUUCCAACUCCUCGAAGCUUGUUUCAACCCAUAAAUUGAUCGUUUUAGCUUGUAUACCUUGGAACCAUCUUGGGAUUCAAAGCCCCUAGGUUGUUCCAUGAAAAUGUUUUCUUCAAUGUAUCCAUUGAGAAAAGCUAUUUUGACAUCCAUCUGCCAAAUCUCAUAAUAAUAGUGCGCUGCUAAUGGUCAAUUGUGAUCAUUUGUGGUGUGUAUGAAUUGUUGGAAACAAGUUUAAAUUCGGAUUGGUGAGGGUCAAUCUACAGGCAGCUUGACCUAGGUCCCUUUCAGGGACUAAAAUUGAAAAAUUUACUAACCCAAUUGGUGUGAGGCCAAUUGAGAAUGAAACUAGACACAAAAUGGCACAUUUUUCAUUGAGGAAUCAUGCCUAGAAAAUGACCAUAACUUAGUGAACAAUUAGGCCAAAUCCGGAAUUGAGCACACUGACCUGUACAAAAAUGACCAAAAGAACAGUAGUUACGUAAAUGACCAUAACUUAGCCUAGGAAGGUCCAAAUGACCUGAAAUUUUACUGGGAGAAAGCUGAGACAUAGCCAUACAACUUUUAUGAAGAAAAUAAACCCAAAAUUUGACCAUAAGCUAUCCAAAAACUCACUUGUAGUCAACCCACAAAAACUGCCAUUAUCCAGAAUUUGCCCAGAAUUAUGGAUAAAACUAAAUCUGGCCAGCUACGUUCAAAUGGCUAUAACUUAGGCUACAAAACUCCAAAUAGAGUGAUUAAAAAAGAGAAUUAAAGAUAAGACAAUAAGGAACAACUUUGAUGGACACUUAGCCAAAUUUCUACUGUAGACAGACCAAUGGAAUAAUAAAAAUAAGUAACCCAAAACUGAAAUUUUGAUAUUUAAUAGGCUUUUAAUUGAAUUUGGUAAUCAAUGCCAACAAAAAUAUGACUCAAAAUGUGGUGUGUGGGUGUAAUUAGAAUUAUCAUAUCUAAUUAGUAUGAAAAAGUCAAUAUCUUGACCAAAUGGUCAAAUGAAUUGUAGCCACAAUUAUACUAAGUACAAAGAAUUCAAUUUUAUGGGAUAAAUUAAGUGUAUAAAAUUUAAUUAUUAAAUUUAUUAAUUGGAAAUAAAUUGAACAGAUAUUGAAACACUUUAGUUAUAUGUUUUAGUGGGAAAGGAGCCCUCCAAGGAAGGAGGAAGAAUUGAAUCAAGACAAGCCUAGAUAAGAGGUACUGAACAUAAAAACCCAGUGGACAUUAGACUAGAGAAUUUAGAGUCUAGAUCUGCGGAAGUAUCAGAAGUGUACAAGGUUGUCACCUCCUCAGCAAUGCAUGUAGAUAGGGUCCAUAUAGAUCAUAUUAUGUAUUUUGUAUAUUAUAAUUAGUUAUUAUUUGUAAUGUAAACUAUGAAUUGUAUAUUGAAAUAUAGAUUAUGGAACUAUAAAUAAU